Long non-coding RNA from Danio rerio (zebrafish), 990 nucleotides. The record is from RefSeq and is marked validated. Lineage: Eukaryota; Metazoa; Chordata; Actinopteri; Cypriniformes; Danionidae.
AAGUACGCAUGUAAAUCCAGCCAACACAGUGUUCCUGACUAACUUCAACACAAAAAACAUGAACGUCAUGAAGGGUGCAGCUGAUGGUGGCCAGAUCGACAAGGUAAUCGAUCACGCUGCUGGGGUGGCCAAGGAGAAAAUUGGCUCUGCACUUGGAGGAAACAAGAAAGCUCCAACUGGCAAGAAUCAGGAUGCAGGUGUUGGCGAUAUGAUCAGUGGUGCGAUUGGCAAAGUUGCUUCAGACACUUCAGACGCAGGCAAAAAAACUGCAGAUCAGGCAACGUCUUUUGCAAAGGGCCUGAUAAAAUAACCUGGCAAACUUUAAAUGGGAACUCUUUCCCUCUUCAUGAUGUUACCUGAAGCCUAUCAUUCUGUAAAUCUCUUUUAAUUUUCACAACUGAUUAAGAAGUACCUCCACAAAAGCAGUCAUCUUGAAACAGGUGAUAUAUGAAGCUGUAUUAGUAUCAGGGCUGUUUGCAUUACAUGUUAGAGCUUUUCCUUUUAAUAAAAUGGAUUUAGUAUAACACUAUUUUUAAAUAACUUCUAAAGUUAAAAUAAAUUAAAUUACAAUUAAAGAGCAGGCAGAAAUUGAAUCAAGUUUACAGGUUUAAAUUCAUUCUUGAUUUGUGUCCUGUACAUUUUUAAUGAUCUCUGUAAUUUUGUUAAACAUGUCAUGUCUUAAAAUAAGUGGAACCACAAACCAAAACAGAAUCAAUAAAAUCUAUCCAAAAUGAUUAGACUUCUUGUCCAGCAAGUGUUAUUGGGUUUUUGCCAUAAUAGUAUUGUACUAUUAUAAAUAUUUGACUUAGUUUAAAGCCCCUUCAUCAUGUGAAUAGAAACAUCAAAAUACAAAUCUCAACAGAUGCAAAUUGGAGAAGAGCCAAAAUUUUACAUAUCUGUGAUUUUUAAGCAUUUUUUUGGGUGGGGAAGCUUAAUAGUUUCAUGUUCAAUCAAUCACUGAAGUUUGUAAAAAACAAUUAAGUUAACUUG